Molecule: transfer RNA, 61 nt
Filed under: Metacrangonyx sp. n. DJ2019
Lineage: Eukaryota; Metazoa; Arthropoda; Malacostraca; Amphipoda; Metacrangonyctidae
Description: tRNA-Leu
Source: RNAcentral
CUUAAGGUGACAGAAUUAAUGUGCUAGAUUUAAAAUCUAUUGAUGGGCCCUCCUCUUAAGA